Molecule: long non-coding RNA, 1107 nt
Organism: Tachysurus fulvidraco (yellow catfish)
Lineage: Eukaryota; Metazoa; Chordata; Actinopteri; Siluriformes; Bagridae
Exons: 5
Source: RefSeq, a predicted model, not a curated record
AAACUAAAAUAUGAGGACACAAACCUGGCGUCCACCACCCUUGUGAGACCAGGGAUGGACAGAGAGAUUUUGGGAAUUAUGGUGUUUUAUAAAAUCACAGUUCACCUGCUGGUGUCUGGAGCAGGACUGUUGGGAGGUCUGACUGGCAGUGAUGUGAUGGUGGAGCUACCUCUGACUCUAAUGCACCCCAAACCCACAGUGUGAGUGAAGAACUCAGCAGUGAACACUGAAGUUUCCUACAAUGUACUGAAGACGUGACUCAGUGUCUCAGCUCUGUAGCUUAGUGUUGUACUGGAAGGUGAAAAUGUAGUUAGGGUACUCACCUAAUCAUCAUCGUCGUCGUCAUCAUCAUCAUCAUCAUCAUCAUCAUCGUCAUCAUCAUCUAUAACACAGUGUUAUCAUCACACACACACACACACACACACACACACACACACACACACACACACAAUCUGAAGAUUGCAACUUUCUUUUGGAAUUCAUCUUAAUGUGCUUUUGUCUAUGUUGAAUGGUGAAAGUUAAAUGUGACUGUAAUUGUGUAAUUGUGUAAUUGUGUAAUUGUGUAAUUGUGUGCAAAAACUCCACGAUACCAAAUAAAACAUAUAGAACCCAAACCAUGUGCUGUUGAGGAACUGCUGCUGUAUGAAAUCAUCUCCAUCCUGACAAAAUCUAAUCUGAGGCUUAAACAGACAUUUGUGUCUGAUGCACAAGCUCCAUCCACACACUGAGUGAACUCGCACCACAGAGCACUGACUACAGAUGUCUGACAUCUACAGACACAAAUCUGUAGAGGAUCUGAAGACACUUUAAUAAAUAAAGGUGAAGACUGACGAGUGGGAUGAGAACAUCAUCUACAACACAAGGACUAUAAUCACUGAAUAAAGUGAAGUGUGUGAGAUUAUUUCUGCUUCACACUGAACUGAACUCCUGGAUCUUUAGGGCCGUGUCUUAUAGUUUCUGGGUCUGAACGUGAGACUCUGGUGUCCUCUGAGAUGUGAGAUGUGAACUCCACCUGUGUGAGUAAACAGCUCUGGAACUGACUGAACAUCAGGAACUUUCCUAAUGCUGUAACCUUAACAUCUAAUCUUUCACCUGCAGGUCAGCUGC